Molecule: ribosomal RNA, 1409 nt
Filed under: metagenome
Description: bacterial LSU rRNA
Rfam family: Bacterial large subunit ribosomal RNA
Source: RNAcentral
AAAAUCCGGGAUUCUAAGGCCGAGAGCUGAUGACGAGUGUUCUUUUAGAACACGAAGUGGUUGAUGCCAUGCUUCCAAGAAAAGCUUCUAAGCUUCAGGUAACCAGGAACCGUACCCCAAACCGACACAGGUGGUUGGGUAGAGAAUACCGAGGCGCUUGAGAGAACUCGGGUGAAGGAACUAGGCAAAUGGCACCGUAACUUCGGGAGAAGGUGCGCCGGUGAGGGUGAAGCAUUUACUGCGUAAGCCCAUGCCGGUCGAAGAUACCAGGCCGCUGCGACUGUUUAUUAAAAACACAGCACUCUGCAAACACGAAAGUGGACGUAUAGGGUGUGACGCCUCCCCGGUGCCGGAAGGUUAAUUGAUGGGGUUAGCUAACGCGAAGCUCUUGAUCGAAGCCCCGGUAAACGGCGGCCGUAACAAUAACGGUCCUAAGGUAGCGAAAUUCCUUGUCGGGUAAGUUCCGACCUGCACGAAUGGCGUAACGAUGGCGGCGCUGUCUCCACCCGAGACUCAGUGAAAUCGAAAUCGCUGUGAAGAUGCAGUGUAUCCGCGGCUAGACGGAAAGACCCCGUGAACCUUUACUAUAGCUUUGCACUGGACUUUGAAUUUGCUUGUGUAGGAUAGGUGGGAGGCUUUGAAGCGUGGACGCCAGUUCGCGUGGAGCCAACCUUGAAAUACCACCCUGGCAACUUUGAGGUUCUAACUCAGGUCCGUUAUCCGGAUCGAGGACAGUGUAUGGUGGGUAGUUUGACUGGGGCGGUCUCCUCCUAAAGAGUAACGGAGGAGUACGGAGGUGCGCUCAGACCGGUCGGAAAUCGGUCGUAGAGUAUAAAGGCAAAAGCGCGCUUGACUGCGAGACAGACACGUCGAGCAGGUACGAAAGUAGGUCUUAGUGAUCCGGUGGUUCUGUAUGGAAGGGCCAUCGCUCAACGGAUAAAAGGUACUCCGGGGAUAACAGGCUGAUACCGCCCAAGAGUUCAUAUCGACGGCGGUGUUUGGCACCUCGAUGUCGGCUCAUCACAUCCUGGGGCUGAAGCCGGUCCCAAGGGUAUGGCUGUUCGCCAUUUAAAGUGGUACGCGAGCUGGGUUUAGAGCGUCGUGAGACAGUUCGGUCCCUAUCUGCCGUGGACGUUUGAGAUUUGAGAGGGGCUGCUCCUAGUACGAGAGGACCGGAGUGGACGAACCUCUGGUGUUCCGGUUGUCACGCCAGUGGCAUUGCCGGGUAGCUAUGUUCGGAAUAGAUAACCGCUGAAAGCAUCUAAGCGGGAAACUAGCCUCAAGAUGAGAUCUCACUGGGACCUUGAGUCCCCUGAAGGGCCGUCGAAGACUACGACGUUGAUAGGUUGGGUGUGUAAGCGCUGUGAGGCGUUGAGCUAACCAAUACUAAUUGCCCGUGAGGCUUGAGC